This 300-nucleotide ribosomal RNA is filed under the name uncultured Microvirga sp. RNAcentral's name for it is "bacterial SSU rRNA". It matches the Rfam family "Bacterial small subunit ribosomal RNA", at positions 496 to 795 of the family's 1533-position model. Lineage: Bacteria; Pseudomonadati; Pseudomonadota; Alphaproteobacteria; Hyphomicrobiales; Methylobacteriaceae. The record is from RNAcentral.
GCUGACGUGGUGCCAGGUGCCGGGGUAAUGCGAAGGGGGCAAGCGUUACUGGGAAUUACGGGGCGUAAAGCGUGCGUAGGUGGUUCGUUAAGUCUGAUGUGAAAGCCCUGGGCUCAACCUGGGAAUUGCAUUGGAGACUGGCGAGCUAGAGUGCUGUAGAGGGUAGUGGAAUUCCCGGUGUAGCAGUGAAAUGCGUAGAGAUCGGGAGGAACAUCUGUGGCGAAGGCGACUGCCUGGACCAGCACUGACACUGAGGCACGAAAGCGUGGGGAGCAAACAGGAUUAGAUAGCCCAGUAGUC